This 1537-nucleotide long non-coding RNA is filed under the name Cyanistes caeruleus (blue tit). RNAcentral's name for it is "lncRNA (ENSCCEG00000001489.1)". Lineage: Eukaryota; Metazoa; Chordata; Aves; Passeriformes; Paridae. The record is from RNAcentral.
CGGGUUUUAUUCCCGGUUUUAUUCCCAAUUUUAUUCCCGGUUUUAUUCCCGGUUUCAUUCCCGGGUUUAUUCCCGGUUUUAUUCCCGGGUUUUUUCCCGGUUUUAUUCCCGGUUUUAUUCCCGGUUUUAUUCCCGGUUUCAUUCCCGGUUUUUAUUCCCAAUUUUAUUCCCGGUUUCAUUCCCGGUUUCAUUCCCGGGUUUUAUUCCCGGGUUUCAUUCCCGGUUUCAUUCCCGGGUUUUAUUCCCGGUUUUAUUCCCGGUUUUGUUCCCGGUUUUAUUCCCGGGUUUAUUCCCGGGUUUUAUUCCCAAUUUUAUUCCCGGUUUUAUUCCCAAUUUUAUUCCCGGUUUUAUUCCCGGUUUCAUUCCCGGGUUUAUUCCCGGUUUUAUUCCCGGUUUCAUUCCCGGUUUUUAUUCCCAAUUUUAUUCCCGGUUUCAUUCCCGGUUUUUAUUCCCAAUUUUAUUCCCGGUUUCAUUCCCGGUUUCAUUCCCGGGUUUUAUUCCCGGUUUUGUUCCCGGUUUUAUUCCCGGGGUUUAUUCCCGGGUUUCAUUCCCGGUUUCAUUCCCGGGUUUUAUUCCCGGGUUUCAUUCCCGGUUUCAUUCCCGGGUUUUAUUCCCGGUUUUAUUCCCGGUUUUGUUCCCGGUUUUAUUCCCGGGUUUAUUCCCGGGUUUUAUUCCCAAUUUUAUUCCCGGUUUUAUUCCCAAUUUUAUUCCCGGUUUUAUUCCCGGUUUCAUUCCCGGUUUCAUUCCCGGGUUUAUUCCCGGGUUUUAUUCCCAAUUUUAUUCCCGGUUUCAUUCCCGGUUUCAUUCCCAAUUUUAUUCCCGGUUUCAUUCCCGGUUUCAUUCCCGGUUUCAUUCCCGGUUUCAUUCCCGGUUUCAUUCCCGGUUUUUAUUCCCAAUUUCAUUCCCGGGUUUAUUCCCAGUUUUAUUCCCGGUUUUAUUCCCGGUUUCAUUCCCGGGUUUAUUCCCAAUUUUAUUCCCGGUUUCAUUCCCGGUUUUAUUCCCGGGUUUCAUUCCCGGUUUCAUUCCCGGGUUUUAUUCCCGGUUUUAUUCCCGGUUUUGUUCCCGGUUUCAUUCCCGGUUUUUAUUCCCGGUUUUAUUCCCGGUUUUAUUCCCGGGUUUAUUCCCAAUUUCAUUCCCGGGUUUAUUCCCGGUUUCAUUCCCGGUUUCAUUCCCGGUUUUAUUCCCGGGUUUUAUUCCCGGGUUUCAGUCCCAAUUUUAUUCCCGGUUUCAUUCCCGGGUUUAUUCCCGGGUUUAUUCCCGGUUUCAUUCCCGGGUUUAUUCCCGGGUUUAUUCCCGGAGGGAGCCCCGAAGGUUUCGCUCUCCCGCGACCUCUGGCACCCCCUGGUGGCAGCGGGGGGGACACAGAGGGGACACCGGGGGGACACCGGGGGGACACUGAGGGGACACCGGGGGGACAUUGAGGGGACACCGGGGGGACACCGGGGGGACACUGAGGGGACACCGGGGGGACAUUGAAGGGACAUCGAGGGGACAUUGAGGGGAAAUCGGGGGGAUAUUGACGGGACAUUGAGGGGAC